Dipodomys ordii (Ord's kangaroo rat) is the source of this 70-nucleotide non-coding RNA. The record is from Rfam. NCBI's taxonomy places the organism in Eukaryota, Metazoa, Chordata, Mammalia, Rodentia, Heteromyidae.
GGGAAGGUGGCUCAGUGGUAGAGCACUUGCCUUGCAUGCUCGAGGCCCUGGGUUCGAUUCCUCAGCCCCA